Long non-coding RNA from Betta splendens (Siamese fighting fish), 1128 nucleotides. RefSeq lists it as uncharacterized. The transcript has 3 exons. The record is from RefSeq and is a predicted model, not a curated record. Lineage: Eukaryota; Metazoa; Chordata; Actinopteri; Anabantiformes; Osphronemidae.
CCUCCUCCAACACCGCGUCCAUCUGUUUGUAGCCAACUAGCUUUCAAUCCACCGUUACCAUUAUUUACCACAGAAUAUUCAAACAGCACGGCCGAGCACAUAAAACGUGCAGAUGCUAAUUUAACGUUACGUGACAGUGGCGUGUUAGCUACGGUUAUUAGAGGCAGGGAGCUCAAAUUGUUCGGGUUGCUGACCCGAGUGUCGUUAACGACUACCACUAACGCACAUCAAACGACUGCGUAGUUGUUAGCUCAUGUUUCGCUAGCUUUCAAGCUAUCUAGCCACCCAGCGACUUUUUCCUCCUUGUGCCGCUAACCAGCUAACGUUAGCCGACUAGCUGGGGCUAACGUGACCAAGACGAGCGCUACCUUGAUUUGUUGCAACAAAGAGAGAAUGAGAGCGAGAUCCUACCCGCCAUUUCGCCUUCGCAAAGUUCUUCUCAAACUGGGCACACACGCCGUCUUUCAAGUUCUUCUCUGAUGCACCGUUCCCUGCGAUCCUGACACAGAACACGGCACACAACCCAGCAGUCCACAGGACGACCAUAUCUGUGACGAGCCACCACUUCAGGAGCUGAGAGACAGCAAAGCAAGGAGGAGACGCAGAGGGAGGGUGAGAGGAAUUUCAUUUAGGAACUAGUACACCACAUUUAUAAUGCUGCCAUGCACAGACACCAGCUCCCUUCCUCACCCCUUUCUCAUUCCUCUCCUGUCAGGCUAUCUGGCCCAUAUUUCUUAUUUAUUUGUCUAAUUAUUCAGCUCAGCAUUUUGAAUAAAUGUCCUGGCUUUUCAGCAGAAGGAGCCCAGGAAAAGCUCUGCACUCCAGGCUACCCUUAUAUGACCCUCAGAAAGAGGAGUGAGACAGUGCACAGAAGAGUGAAAAAGAGCUGAAAAGAGAGGGCGAGAGGAGGAGGGUGAAAGUUUGAUGCUUUCAGUUCUGUGUGUAUUUUACUGCUUUUCAUCUUAUAUCUUUUCCACGGUAAGAUCAUCAUCUUCAGAAGCACAAGAAAGCAAGCCACUCGAAGGGCAAAGUAUACCUCCAAGUCUCCAAGAGCAGAAGGUGAAGAUAAUGGAAAAAUGCGUAAGAGGGUGAAACAGAAGGAACAGACAGAGAAGCGCAUCCUACCCA